GCUUCCCCUCACCCAGGACGGGCUUUGAAGCCCCCCCUGGGAAGGUCGUUUCUACGGGUGACGACCGAGGAACGCGGCGAGCAAAACGUCGGCAAAACGGCUAUUGUGUCCCGAGCGCCGCCCUAAAAAGAGGACAAACGGCUGGCAGAACGGGGACGGGGGCGUAGAGGCGAAGCACGAUGUGAUUGGCCCGCGGCUCCUGAGGCCGCGCGCGCCCGGGGAAGAGCCGAGGGACCUUGCGCGUGCGCAGAGGCGUCCCAGUGCGCCGGCCCGCCUCCCCCACCCCCUUGUGGGGGCGCCCGUCUGGAAGUGGGCGGAGUGCGGGCUGUGAUUAAUGCCUGGCCUAUGGAAGGCAGCGAGUUAAUCUUCCUCGCGCCCGAGAACUUGCUAAUUGAAGUUGAAGGAUUAAACAUCCUCCUGAAAGCUUUCAAGCUAAUGAGGAUUGCAAACUCAGAUGCCUACUUGGCCAACCCCAGAGAGGGCUGUCCAAAGUUGGGGGACACGUGGCCAUGAAAGGGGCUGCAGAGACUAGUUAAACUUGUUACUGUGCGAACUCUGCCGGCUGUUGCCUUUCCUUGGCUUCCUUCUCAACUCCAUGUGUACAGACCUGCCCCAAAGAUCUAUUCAUUAAUCAUUCACUCAAAAAUACAGCCUGAGCGCUUCCUAUAUUGCUGAGUCAUGCCUUCAAGGGUACAUCAUCACAAUCAGUUACCACAGAACAAAGAGAGGUUCCGAGCUGGCGAGUGUGUGUGACGCUGGACAGUCAGGCCUGUCACCUGUCCAAAUACUAAGGGAUACAAAUGGGAUUAGCACAUUAUGGCUAUAAAUUAUUGAUCUCUAAUAAGUCACCCCAGGAUCUGGGGGGACCUUUCUCAGAGAGAUUCCUUACAAUUACAAAGUUAUGUGGAAACACUCUGUCUAAAACCAAGUCAGCACACUGCUUCCUGAUGCACCUGGAGAGUAGAAAAGAACCUGCCUGUCGAAUCAGCUUCAGGGAAGAGAUGAGUUAUGACUAAUGUCCUGGUGGUUGAUUGUUCUGCCCCAGGAGUACACACACAAAGGGUCAGGAGCCUCUCCUUUCUGAAGCCAAGUGUUUGCUGUGCCCACCACCUGCAAGCAUCUUCUCUUGAGCCCUUAACCCCAUUUCUGCUGGCUCACAAAGAGGAAAGCAACCACAUUCUUACAAUCAGUCUUCACUCUAUCCAUACUGAUGGCCUGAGCAAGAGAGGAAGCAGGGGCCCAGACUGGUCAUUUCCAAAGUGGGAUGCACACUCCUGGCGUAGGAGGGGAGCAAGACGUCCCAUUUGGUGUGGAAACUGCUACUAGAAAAUUUCUACUAAUUUUGUCUUAAAAAAAAAAUAAAGCUUUACCAAAAUUUCA
Molecule: non-coding RNA, 1380 nt
Organism: Equus caballus (horse)
Lineage: Eukaryota; Metazoa; Chordata; Mammalia; Perissodactyla; Equidae
Source: RefSeq, a predicted model, not a curated record